UUUUAUCUCUAUAAAUGCUAAAAUAUUUCAUUAUAAUUAAAUUGAUACAAAUAUUUGAUAAGUGAAAAGUAGAAAAACAUGACUAAAAUUUUCAAAUUUGGUUAUGUUAUGAUUAUCUUUAUUUUUUUUCUUGUAAAUGGCGUAAACACCGGAAAGUGUUUCCGUUGCUAUGAACACUAUGAAUGUACUAAACAUUGUCCAGACUUAAAAGGGUGUUGUUAUGUUAACAGUUGUAGGUGCUUUAGGGAUAUAUAUAAGAAGUGCUAAUUCAAUUAUAAAAGUUUAAUCAUAUAAUUUCAAAACGUUGAAUUUAAAUCUACCCGUAGACAAUUAUGAAUUGAUGACCAUUAGUGUCACUUUCAUAAUAAAAAUUAUAUUAUAUCCUCUAAAAUUUGUAUUUAAAUAAUUAAGGCUUAUAUUCUAUUUAUUACUAUUUUUGUGUGACUUACAUUGAUAAAUUGUCUUUUGAUUUAAA
This is a long non-coding RNA of Cicer arietinum (chickpea), 475 nucleotides long. RefSeq lists it as uncharacterized. The record is from RefSeq and is a predicted model, not a curated record. Lineage: Eukaryota; Viridiplantae; Streptophyta; Magnoliopsida; Fabales; Fabaceae.